RNAcentral lists this ribosomal RNA (468 nucleotides) under uncultured bacterium. Its description in RNAcentral is "partial 16S ribosomal RNA". It matches the Rfam family "Bacterial small subunit ribosomal RNA", at positions 28 to 507 of the family's 1533-position model. The record is from RNAcentral.
GACGAACGCUGGCGGCGUGCUUAACACAUGCAAGUCGAACGGAAAGGCCCUGCUUUUGUGGGGUGCUCGAGUGGCGAACGGGUGAGUAACACGUGAGUAACCUGCCCUUGACUUUGGGAUAACUUCAGGAAACUGGGGCUAAUACCGGAUAGGAGCUCCUGCUGCAUGGUGGGGGUUGGAAAGUUUCGGCGGUUGGGGAUGGACUCGCGGCUUAUCAGCUUGUUGGUGGGGUAGUGGCUUACCAAGGCUUUGACGGGUAGCCGGCCUGAGAGGGUGACCGGCCACAUAGUGACUGAGAUACGGCCCAGACUCCUACGGGAGGCAGCAAGAGGGAAUAUUGCACAGUGAGCGGAAGCCUGAUACAGCAACGCCGCGUGCGGGAUGACUGCCUUCGAGUUGUAAACCGCUUUCGCCUGUGACGAAGCGUGAGUGACGGUAAUGAAUAAAGAAGCACCGGCUAACUACGUG